This 465-nucleotide ribosomal RNA is filed under the name Vreelandella stevensii. Its description in RNAcentral is "partial 16S ribosomal RNA". It matches the Rfam family "Bacterial small subunit ribosomal RNA", at positions 338 to 795 of the family's 1533-position model. The record is from RNAcentral. Lineage: Bacteria; Pseudomonadati; Pseudomonadota; Gammaproteobacteria; Oceanospirillales; Halomonadaceae.
CCUACGGGUGGCUGCAGUGGGGAAUAUUGGACAAUGGGGGCAACCCUGAUCCAGCCAUGCCGCGUGUGUGAAGAAGGCCCUCGGGUUGUAAAGCACUUUCAGUGAGGAAGAACGCCUGGUGGUUAAUACCCAUCAGGAAAGACAUCACUGACAGAAGAAGCACCGGCUAACUCCGUGCCAGCAGCCGCGGUAAUACGGAGGGUGCGAGCGUUAAUCGGAAUUACUGGGCGUAAAGCGCGCGUAGGUGGCUUGAUAAGCCGGUUGUGAAAGCCCCGGGCUCAACCUGGGAACGGCAUCCGGAACUGUCAAGCUAGAGUGCAGGAGAGGAAGGUAGAAUUCCCGGUGUAGCGGUGAAAUGCGUAGAGAUCGGGAGGAAUACCAGUGGCGAAGGCGGCCUUUUGGACUGACACUGACACUGAGGUGCGAAAGCGUGGGUAGCAAACAGGAUUAGAUACCCUAGUAGUC